RNAcentral lists this small nuclear RNA (107 nucleotides) under Dasypus novemcinctus (nine-banded armadillo). Lineage: Eukaryota; Metazoa; Chordata; Mammalia; Cingulata; Dasypodidae. The record is from RNAcentral.
GUGCUCACUUUGGCAGCACACGUACUAAAAUUGGAACUAUACAGAGAAGAUUAACACGGCCCCUGCACAAGGAUGACACGCAAAUUCACGAAGCGUUCCAUAUUUUU